This is a long non-coding RNA of Homo sapiens (human), 497 nucleotides long. The record is from Ensembl. Lineage: Eukaryota; Metazoa; Chordata; Mammalia; Primates; Hominidae.
CUUCUAUAUAGUAGACACUCAAAAUGCUUAUUAAACUGCAUUUACAUUCAGCAGAGAUAAACAGAGUGGAAAGCUGCCAUAGCAUUACCUGUGGAAAUGAAUGAAAGCCUGUGAUUCGGAUCCUAAUGGGAGAAAAGUGCCAUGGCAGAAGGAGAUUCUGUUGAGAAGAUAAAUGCCCUCUGACUAUGUCUUCUUCAAUCCUCAAAAAUAUUGCCAUUAUGUUUGAGAGCAGUUGAUAAAGCAUAGUGUGCUGGGAAGAGUGCUGGAGAAGGAGUCAGUUGACCUUCACGACUGUCCAAUUCUGCAAUGAGCAAGCUGUGUCACUUUGGGCAAAUCAUGGGUUCUCUGUUUCUCUGUUUCAUCUAUAAAGUGAGGCAAUGAAAUAUUAUGAUCUUAAAUUAUUUCUUUACAGUUAUAUGACAUUAAUCAAUUCCUGACUUCCUUCUUCCAUUGGUCAUAAAUAUGUGUAUGUAUGUAUAAUAUAUUCAUAGAUAAUG